This 178-nucleotide antisense RNA is filed under the name Rivularia sp. PCC 7116. Its description in RNAcentral is "Antisense RNA which regulates isiA expression". It matches the Rfam family "Antisense RNA which regulates isiA expression". Lineage: Bacteria; Bacillati; Cyanobacteriota; Cyanophyceae; Nostocales; Rivulariaceae. The record is from Rfam by way of RNAcentral.
GAUAACCAUAGAUAACCAGAGGGUUAAGAGUUGGAUUCGUGACGGUGCGGACAGUCUCAGAUGCAGCAUCAUAGAGUCCGCCAAAGAACAUUGCUUGAGCAGCUAACAACAAUGCUCCGACUCCUAAAAACAAUAGAUGAUGUCCCAAAAUAAUCCCUAAUUGCUUGGCAUCAUCCCA